GAUGAACGCUGGCGGCGUGCUUAACACAUGCAAGUCGAACGAAGCACUUUAUUUGAUUUCCUUCGGGACUGAUUAUUUUGUGACUGAGUGGCGGACGGGUGAGUAACGCGUGGGUAACCUGCCUUGUACAGGGGGAUAACAGUUGGAAACGGCUGCUAAUACCGCAUAAGCGCACGGCAUCGCAUGAUGCAGUGUGAAAAACUCCGGUGGUAUAAGAUGGACCCGCGUUGGAUUAGCUAGUUGGUGAGGUAACGGCCCACCAAGGCGACGAUCCAUAGCCGACCGGGGAGGGUGACCGGCCACAGUGGGACUGAGACACGGACCAAACUCCGACGGGAGGCAGCAGUGGGGAAUAUUGCACAAUGGGCGAAAGACUGAUGCAGCGACGCCGCGUGAGCGAAGAAGUAUUUCGGUAUGUAAAGCUCUAUCAGCAGGGAAGAUAAUGACGGUACCUGACUAAGAAGCACCGGCUAAAUACGUG
Molecule: ribosomal RNA, 481 nt
Filed under: uncultured bacterium
Lineage: Bacteria
Description: partial 16S ribosomal RNA
Rfam family: Bacterial small subunit ribosomal RNA
Source: RNAcentral